AUUGAACGCUGGCGGCAGGCCUAACACAUGCAAGUCGAGCGGAGCGGCGGACGGGUGAGUAAUGCCUAGGAAUCUGCCUGGUCGUGGGGGAUAACGUCAGGAAACGGGCGCUAAUACCGCAUACUAUCAGAUGAGCCUAGGUCGGAUUAGCUCGUUGGUGGGGUAAAGGCCUACCAAGGCGACGAUCCGUAACUGGUCUGAGAGGAUGAUCAGUCACACUGGGCCUGAACAGCAGUCCGAACUCCACCGAGAGGCGUAAGUGGAGAAGAUUGGACAAGGGGCGAAGACCUGAUACAACAAUGCGGCGUAUUGAAGGAGGGUCUACGGGUUUUAAAGCACUUUAAGUAGGUGGACGUUACCAACAGAAUAAGCACCGGCUAACUUCGUGCCAGCAGCCGCGGUAAUUC
RNAcentral lists this ribosomal RNA (407 nucleotides) under uncultured bacterium. Its description in RNAcentral is "partial 16S ribosomal RNA". It matches the Rfam family "Bacterial small subunit ribosomal RNA", at positions 30 to 526 of the family's 1533-position model. The record is from RNAcentral.